CCUACGGGAGGCAGCAGUGAGGAAUAUUGGUCAAUGGCCGAGAGGCUGAACCAGCCAAGUCGCGUGAGGGAAGACGGCCCUACGGGUUGUAAACCUCUUUUGUCGGGGAGCAAAGAGAGUCACGUGUGACUCAUUGAGAGUACCCGAAGAAAGAGCAUCGGCUAACUCCGUGCCAGCAGCCGCGGUAAGACGGCGGAUGCGAGCGUUAUCCGGAUUUGUUGGGUUUAAAGGGUGGGCAGGCGGAGGUGCAAGUCAGCGGUCAAAUUGAGAGGCUCAACCUCUUCGAGCCGUUGAAACUGGUUUUCUUGAGUGAGCGAGAAGUAUGCGGAAUGCGUGGUGUAGCGGUGAAAUGCAUAGAUAUCACGCAGAACUCCGAUUGCGAAGGCAGCAUACCGGCGCUCAACUGACGCUCAUGCACGAAAGUGUGGGUAGCGAACAGGAUUAGAUACCCGUGUAGUC
This 459-nucleotide ribosomal RNA is filed under the name uncultured bacterium. RNAcentral's name for it is "partial 16S ribosomal RNA". It matches the Rfam family "Bacterial small subunit ribosomal RNA", at positions 338 to 795 of the family's 1533-position model. The record is from RNAcentral.